This is a long non-coding RNA of Oncorhynchus keta (chum salmon), 434 nucleotides long. RefSeq lists it as uncharacterized. The record is from RefSeq and is a predicted model, not a curated record. NCBI's taxonomy places the organism in Eukaryota, Metazoa, Chordata, Actinopteri, Salmoniformes, Salmonidae. The transcript has 4 exons.
UAUAUAUAUAUAUAUAUAUAUAGAGUCAUGUCAUCAUGGAAUGAUCUGUUACCAGAGGUUACUCAGGUAUAUAUAUAGAGUCAUGUCAUCAUGGAAUGAUCUGUUACCAGAGGUUACUCAGGUAUAUAUAGAGUCAUGUCACAGUGGAAUGAUCUGUUACCAGAGGUUACUCAGGUAUAUAUAGAGUCAUGUCAUAGUGGAAUGAUCUGUUACCAGAGGUUACUCAGGUAUAUAUAGAGUCAUGUCAUUGUGGAAUGAUCUGUUACCAGAGGUUACUCAGUUAUAUAUAGAGUCAUGUCACAGUGGAAUGAUCUGUUACCAGAGGUUACUCAGGUAUAUUAUAUAUAUAUAUAUAUAGAGUCAUGUCACAGUGGAAUGAUCUGUUACCAGAGGUUACUCAGGUAUAUAUAGAGUCAUGUCAUCAUGGAAUGAUC